UACGGAGGGUGCGAGCGUUAAUCGGAAUUACUGGGCGUAAAGCGUGCGUAGGCGGCUUUUUAAGUCGGAUGUGAAAUCCCCGAGCUUAACUUGGGAAUUGCAUUCGAUACUGGGAAGCUAGAGUAUGGGAGAGGAUGGUAGAAGUCCAGGUGUAGCGGUGAAAUGCGUAGAGAUCUGGAGGAAUACCGAUGGCGAAGGCAGCCAUCUGGCCUAAUACUGACGCUGAGGUACGAAAGCAUGGGGAGCAAACAGG
RNAcentral lists this ribosomal RNA (253 nucleotides) under uncultured bacterium. Its description in RNAcentral is "partial 16S ribosomal RNA". It matches the Rfam family "Bacterial small subunit ribosomal RNA", at positions 524 to 776 of the family's 1533-position model. The record is from RNAcentral.